AGCAGCCGCGGUAAUUCCAGCUCCAAUAGCGUAUAUUAAAGUUGUUGCAGUUAAAAAGCUCGUAGUUGAAUUUCGGGGUUAGUAGGUUGGUCAUGCCUCUGGUAUGUACUGGUCUCACUGAUUCCUCCUUCCUGAUGAGCCGUAAUGCCAUUAAUUUGGUGUUGCGGGGAAUUUGGACUGUUACUUUGAAAAAAUUAGAGUGUUUAAAGCAAGCUAACGCUUGAAUACAUUAGCAUGGAAUAAUGAAAUAGGACGUUCGAUCCUAUUUUGUUGGUUUCUAGGAUUGACGUAAUGAUUAAUAGGGAUAGUUGGGGGCAUUAGUAUUCAAUUGUCAGAGGUGAAAUUCUUGGAUUUAUUGAAGACUAACUACUGCGAAAGCAUUUGCCAAGGAUGUUUUCAUUAAUCAAGAACGAAAGUUAGGGGAUCGAAGACGAUCAGAUACCGUCGUAGUCUUAACCAUAAACUAUGCCGACUAGGGAUCGGAUGAUGUUAAUUUUUAAUUGA
This 504-nucleotide unclassified non-coding RNA is filed under the name uncultured Archaeospora. RNAcentral describes it as "SSU rRNA". It matches the Rfam family "Eukaryotic small subunit ribosomal RNA", at positions 569 to 1078 of the family's 1831-position model. The record is from RNAcentral. Lineage: Eukaryota; Fungi; Glomeromycota; Glomeromycetes; Archaeosporales; Archaeosporaceae.